RNAcentral lists this ribosomal RNA (1332 nucleotides) under uncultured bacterium. Its description in RNAcentral is "bacterial SSU rRNA". It matches the Rfam family "Bacterial small subunit ribosomal RNA", at positions 28 to 1381 of the family's 1533-position model. The record is from RNAcentral.
GACGAACGCUGGCGGCGCGCCUAACACAUGCAAGUCGAACGAGAGAUGAGGAGCUUGCUCUUCAAAUCGAGUGGCGAACGGGUGAGUAACGCGUGAGGAACCUGCCUCAAAGAGGGGGACAACAGUUGGAAACGACUGCUAAUACCGCAUAAGCCCACGGCUCGGCAUCGAGCAGAGGGAAAAGGAGCAAUCCGCUUUGAGAUGGCCUCGCGUCCGAUUAGCUAGUUGGUGAGGUAACGGCCCACCAAGGCGACGAUCGGUAGCCGGACUGAGAGGUUGAACGGCCACAUUGGGACUGAGACACGGCCCAGACUCCUACGGGAGGCAGCAGUGGGGAAUAUUGCACAAUGGGGGAAACCCUGAUGCAGCGACGCCGCGUGGAGGAAGAAGGUCUUCGGAUUGUAAACUCCUGUUGUUGAGGAAGAUAAUGACGGUACUCAACAAGGAAGUGACGGCUAACUACGUGCCAGCAGCCGCGGUAAAACGUAGGUCACAAGCGUUGUCCGGAAUUACUGGGUGUAAAGGGAGCGCAGGCGGGAGAACAAGUUGGAAGUGAAAUCCAUGGGCUCAACCCAUGAACUGCUUUCAAAACUGUUUUUCUUGAGUAGUGCAGAGGUAGGCGGAAUUCCCGGUGUAGCGGUGGAAUGCGUAGAUAUCGGGAGGAACACCAGUGGCGAAGGCGGCCUACUGGGCACCAACUGACGCUGAGGCUCGAAAGUGUGGGUAGCAAACAGGAUUAGAUACCCUGGUAGUCCACACCGUAAACGAUGAUUACUAGGUGUUGGAGGAUUGACCCCUUCAGUGCCGCAGUUAACACAAUAAGUAAUCCACCUAGGGAGUACGACCGCAAGGUUGAAACUCAAAGGAAUUGACGGGGGCCCGCACAAGCAGUGGAGUAUGUGGUUUAAUUCGACGCAACGCGAAGAACCUUACCAAGUCUUGACAUCCUGCGACGCACAUAGAAAUAUGUGUUUCCUUCGGGACGCAGAGACAGGUGGUGCAUGGUUGUCGUCAGCUCGUGUCGUGAGAUGUUGGGUUAAGUCCCGCAACGAGCGCAACCCUUAUGGUCAGUUACUACGCAAGAGGACUCUGGCCAGACUGCCGUUGACAAAACGGAGGAAGGUGGGGAUGACGUCAAAUCAUCAUGCCCUUUAUGACUUGGGCUACACACGUACUACAAUGGCGUUAAACAAAGAGAAGCAAGACCGCGAGGUGGAGCAAAACUCAGAAACAACGUCCCAGUUCGGACUGCAGGCUGCAACUCGCCUGCACGAAGUCGGAAUUGCUAGUAAUCGUGGAUCAGCAUGCCACGGUGAAUACGUUCCCGGGCCU